AAAGAGGCAAGCUCCCGGCUCACCUGGCUGCACGCGGGAGACGCCCCUACCAAGUUUUUCAUGGCCAAGAUCAACUCGAGAAGACGCAAGAACUUCAUCAACGCCCUGAAAGUGGGAGACAGCAUCGUGACUGCACAUGCAGAGAAGCAAGAGGCAAUCCACGAGCACUUCAACUGCAUCCUUGGAUCCUCUCAACACCGAAGCACGUCGAUCAACUGGAAUGAGCUACGUUUUCCCAGGCUGCAAGCAAACGGCAUGGACAACCCGUUCUCUGAAGACGAGGUUUGGGCGGCGAUCAAGGAUUCACCGGCGGAAAAAUCGCCUGGGCCCGACGAUUUCUAUGGGAUGUUCUUCCGUAGCUGCUGGAGCAUCAUCAAAGAAGACAUCAUGCAAGCGUUCCAGUAG
Molecule: ribosomal RNA, 405 nt
Filed under: Triticum aestivum (bread wheat)
Lineage: Eukaryota; Viridiplantae; Streptophyta; Magnoliopsida; Poales; Poaceae
Description: partial small subunit ribosomal RNA
Source: RNAcentral